CCUACGGGAGGCAGCAGUGGGGAAUAUUGCACAAUGGGGGAAACCCUGAUGCAGCGACGCCGCGUGAGUGAAGAAGUAUUUCGGUAUGUAAAGCUCUAUCAGCAGGAACGAGACAAGACGGUACCUGACUCAGAAGCCCCGGCUAACUACGUGCCAGCAGCCGCGGUACUACGUAGGGGGCAAGCGUUAUCCGGAAUCACUGGGUGUAAAGGGAGCGUAGACGGCUGAGCAAGCCUAAAGUGAAAGGCGGGGGCCCAACCCCCGGACUGCUUUGGAAACUGUACGGCUGGAGUGCAGGAGAGGUAAGUGGAAUUCGUGGUGUAGCGGUGAAAUGCGUAGAUAUUAGGAGGAACACCAGUGGCGAAGGCGGCUUACUGGACUGUAACUGACGUUGAGGCUCGAAAGCGUGGGUAGCAAACAGGAUUAGAUACCCUUGUAGUC
Molecule: ribosomal RNA, 441 nt
Filed under: uncultured bacterium
Lineage: Bacteria
Description: partial 16S ribosomal RNA
Rfam family: Bacterial small subunit ribosomal RNA
Source: RNAcentral